AGCGAACGCUGGCGGCAGGCCUAACACAUGCAAGUCGAACGAACUCUUCGGAGUUAGUGGCGGACGGGUGAGUAACACGUGGGAACGUGCCUUUUGGUUCGGAAUAACUCAGGGAAACUUGUGCUAAUACCGAAUGUGCCCUUCGGGGGAAAGAUUUAUCGCCAUUAGAGCGGCCCGCGUCUGAUUAGCUAGUUGGUGAGGUAACGGCUCACCAAGGCGACGAUCAGUAGCUGGUCUGAGAGGAUGACCAGCCACACUGGGACUGAGACACGGCCCAGACUCCUACGGGAGGCAGCAGUGGGGAAUCUUGCGCAAUGGGCGAAAGCCUGACGCAGCCAUGCCGCGUGAAUGAUGAAGGUCUUAGGAUUGUAAAAUUCUUUCACCGGGGACGACAAUGACGGUGCCCGGAGAAGAAGCCCCGGCUAACUUCGUG
RNAcentral lists this ribosomal RNA (433 nucleotides) under uncultured bacterium. RNAcentral describes it as "partial 16S ribosomal RNA". It matches the Rfam family "Bacterial small subunit ribosomal RNA", at positions 29 to 507 of the family's 1533-position model. The record is from RNAcentral.